Long non-coding RNA from Oncorhynchus tshawytscha (Chinook salmon), 396 nucleotides. The record is from Ensembl. Lineage: Eukaryota; Metazoa; Chordata; Actinopteri; Salmoniformes; Salmonidae.
CUCAAAUUUCUCCCGAGACCAGCGAAACAUGUUUGCGCAGUGGUGACCCUAUAGGCCUUCGGUGUGUGACAGGUUCGUGAUUCUGAAAGGACAGCAACCGUAAUACCAGGCUAUAUGCAGAGUGAAAAUAUGAAACAUCUAUUGGAAAACACAGGUUGCCAUUCCUUCGCUGGGCGGGGCGAUUGGGAACUUUGUUGCAAAAUGCUGAAUUUAAAAUGGAUAAGUUGUCGGAGAGGACAAAAAACGCUCAGGGACUUCACCAUGAGGCCAAUCAAUGGUGACUUUAAAACAGUUACGGAGUUUAAUGGCUGCAGGAGAAAACUGAAGAUGGAUCAACAACAUUGUAGUUACUCCACAAUACUAACCUAAUUGACAGAGUGAAAAGAAGGAAGCCUG